RNAcentral lists this ribosomal RNA (521 nucleotides) under uncultured endophytic bacterium. RNAcentral describes it as "partial 16S ribosomal RNA". The record is from RNAcentral.
AUUACCGCGGCUGCUGGCACAGAGUUAGCCGGUGCUUAUUCUGUCGGUAACGUCAAAACAGCAAGGUAUUCGCUUACUGCCCUUCCUCCCAACUUAAAGUGCUUUACAAUCCGAAGACCUUCUUCACACACGCGGCAUGGCUGGAUCAGGCUUUCGCCCAUUGUCCAAUAUUCCCCACUGCUGCCUCCCGUAGGAGUCUGGACCGUGUCUCAGUUCCAGUGUGACUGAUCAUCCUCUCAGACCAGUUACGGAUCGUCGCCUUGGUGAGCCAUUACCUCACCAACUAGCUAAUCCGACCUAGGCUCAUCUGAUAGCGCAAGGCCCGAAGGUCCCCUGCUUUCUCCCGUAGGACGUAUGCGGUAUUAGCGUCCCUUUCGAGACGUUGUCCCCCACUACCAGGCAGAUUCCUAGGCAUUACUCACCCGUCCGCCGCUGAAUCAGAGAGCAAGCUCUCUUCAUCCGCUCGACUUGCAUGUGUUAGGCCUGCCGCCAGCGUUCAAUCUGAGCCAGGAUCAAACUCU